RNAcentral lists this ribosomal RNA (301 nucleotides) under uncultured bacterium. Its description in RNAcentral is "partial 16S ribosomal RNA". It matches the Rfam family "Bacterial small subunit ribosomal RNA", at positions 509 to 807 of the family's 1533-position model. The record is from RNAcentral.
CAGCAGCCGCGGGAAAACGAGGGGGGCAAGCGUUGUCCGGAAUUAUUGGGCGUAAAGGGCUCGCAGGCGGUUUCUUAAGUCUGAUGUGAAAGCCCUCGGCUCAACCGGGGAGGGUCAUUGGAAACUGGGAAACUUGAGUGCAGAAGAGGAGAGUGGAAUUCCACGUGUAGCGGUGAAAUGCGUAGAGAUGUGGAGGAACACCAGUGGCGAAGGCGACUCUCUGGUCUGUAACUGACGCUGAGGCUCGAAAGCGUGGGUAGCAAACAGGAUUAGAUACCCCCGUAGUCCCUGUCUCUUAUAC